AGUGAACGCUGGCGGUAGGCCUAACACAUGCAAGUCGAACGGCAGCACAGUAAGAGCUUGCUCUUACGGGUGGCGAGUGGCGGACGGGUGAGGAAUACAUCAGAAUCUACUUUUUCGUGGGGGAUAACGUAGGGAAACUUACGCUAAUACCGCAUAUGACCUACGGGUGAAAGCAGGGGAUCUUCGCACCUUGCGCGAUUGAAUUAGCCGAUGUCGGAUUAGCUAGUUGGCGGGGUAAAGGCCCACCAAGGCGACGAUCCGUAGCUGGUCUGAGAGGAUGAUCAGCCACACUGGAACUGAGACACGGUCCAGACUCCUACGGGAGGCAGCAGUGGGGAAUAUUGGACAAUGGGCGCAAGCCUGAUCCAGCCAUACCGCGUGGGUGAAGAAGGCCUUCGGGUUGUAAAGCCCUUUUGUUGGGAAAGAAAAGCAGCAGGUUAAUACCCCGCUGUUCUGACGGUACCCAAAGAAUAAGCACCGGCUAACUUCGUG
This 492-nucleotide ribosomal RNA is filed under the name uncultured bacterium. RNAcentral describes it as "partial 16S ribosomal RNA". It matches the Rfam family "Bacterial small subunit ribosomal RNA", at positions 29 to 507 of the family's 1533-position model. The record is from RNAcentral.